This 523-nucleotide ribosomal RNA is filed under the name uncultured Pseudomonas sp. Its description in RNAcentral is "bacterial SSU rRNA". It matches the Rfam family "Bacterial small subunit ribosomal RNA", at positions 8 to 523 of the family's 1533-position model. The record is from RNAcentral. Lineage: Bacteria; Pseudomonadati; Pseudomonadota; Gammaproteobacteria; Pseudomonadales; Pseudomonadaceae.
AGAGUUUGAUCCUGGCUCAGGACGAACGCUGGCGGCGUGCUUAACACAUGCAAGUCGAACGAUGAAGCCCAGCUUGCUGGGUGGAAGAGUGGCGAACGGGUGAGUAACACGUGAGUAACCUGCCCUUGACUCUGGGAUAAGCGCUGGAAACGGCGUCUAAUACUGGAUACGACCUAUCACCGCAUGGUGUGUGGGUGGAAAGAUUUAUCGGUUUUGGAUGGACUCGCGGCCUAUCAGCUUGUUGGUGAGGUAAUGGCUCACCAAGGCGACGACGGGUAGCCGGCCUGAGAGGGUGACCGGCCACACUGGGACUGAGACACGGCCCAGACUCCUACGGGAGGCAGCAGUGGGGAAUAUUGCACAAUGGGCGCAAGCCUGAUGCAGCCAUGCCGCGUGUAUGAAGAAGGCCUUCGGGUUGUAAAGUACUUUCAGCGAGGAGGAAGGCAUUAAGGUUAAUAACCUUAGUGAUUGACGUUACUCGCAGAAGAAGCACCGGCUAACUCCGUGCCAGCAGCCGCGGUAA